This 681-nucleotide ribosomal RNA is filed under the name uncultured Pseudomonadota bacterium. RNAcentral's name for it is "bacterial SSU rRNA". It matches the Rfam family "Bacterial small subunit ribosomal RNA", at positions 71 to 749 of the family's 1533-position model. The record is from RNAcentral. Lineage: Bacteria; Pseudomonadati; Pseudomonadota.
GCGCGGGGGCAACCCUGGCGGCGAGCGGCGGACGGGUGAGUAACGCGUAGGAAUCUACCCAGUAGCGGGGGAUAGCCCGGGGAAACUCGGAUUAAUACCGCAUACGCCCCACGGGGGAAAGCAGGGGAUCGCAAGACCUUGCACUAUUGGAAGAGCCUGCGUUGGAUUAGCUAGUUGGUAGGGUAAAGGCCUACCAAGGCGACGAUCCAUAACUGGUCUGAGAGGAUGAUCAGUCACACCGGAACUGAGACACGGUCCGGACUCCUACGGGAGGCAGCAGUGGGGAAUAUUGGACAAUGGGGGCAACCCUGAUCCAGCCAUGCCGCGUGUGUGAAGAAGGCCUUCGGGUUGUAAAGACUUUAAGUGGGGAGGAAGGGGUGAACGUUAAUACGGUUCAUCAUUGACGCUACCCACAGAAUAAGCACCGGCUAACUCUGUGCCAGCAGCCGCGGUAAUACAGAGGGUGCAAGCGUUAAUCGGAAUUACUGGGCGUAAAGCGCGCGUAGGCGGCUGAUUAAGUCGGGUGUGAAAGCCCCGGGCUCAACCUGGGAACUGCAUCCGAUACUGAUCGGCUAGAGUAUGAGAGAGGGAGGUAGAAUUCCACGUGUAGCGGUGAAAUGCGUAGAUAUGUGGAGGAAUACCGGUGGCGAAGGCGGCCUCCUGGUUCAAUACUGACGCUGA